UUAAAAUUGUUGCAGUUAAAACGCUCGUAGUUGAAUUUCAAAGAAUCAAUAUUUUAAGUAAUGCUUUUGGUUUAAGAUGCUUAGGCAAUACAACGUAUCUGCUCUUUGCAUUCCUUAUCCAAAAUGUGUUCUUAUUAUAAAAAGGAUUCUUUUUAAAAUCUCCUUUACUUUUUCUUGUACAGGAGAUUUUGUUACUUUGAGUAAAUUAGAGUGUUCAAAGCAAACAGUUAAAGCAUUUUACUGCGUUUGAAUACUACAGCAUGGAAUAACAAAAUUGAACAAGUCAAAACUCUGUUCCUUUUUCUUAUUUUGGCUUAGUUACGAUUAAUAGGAGUAGCUUGGGGGCAUUUGUAUUCAGAUGUCAGAGGUGAAAUUCUUAGAUUUUCUGGAGACAAACAACUGCGAAAGCAUUUGCCUAAAAUACUUCCAUUAAUCAAGAACGAAAGUUAAGGGAGUGAAGACGAUCAGAUACCGUCGUAAUCUUAACCAUAAACUAUGCCGACUAGGUUUUGGAUGAAAGAUUUUUAAAUAAGAAAAUUCCUUUUGGAAAUUUCUUAGAUUGCUUCCUUCAGUACCUUAUGAGAAAUCAAAGUCUUUGGGUUCUGGGGCGAGUAUUCGCGCAAGCGAGAAAGUUAAAAGAAUUGACGGAAGGGCACCACCAGGCGUGGAGCUUGCGGCUUAAUUUGACUCAACACGGGGAAACUCACUAGUUUAAGACAAGAGUAGGAUUGACAGAUUAAUAGCUCUUUCUUGAUUUCUUGGAUGGUGAUGCAUGGCCGUUUUUAGUUCGUGAAUAUGAUUUGUCUGGUUAAUUCCGAUAACGAACGAGAUCUUAACCUGCUAAUUAGCGGCGAAUACGUUAUAUUCCUACUUGAAAUUGAAUAUAGCUGAAUUUGCUUAUUUUGAAGAAUAUAUUAGGAUGCAUUAUAGUGUCCUUUUCCCUUUUCUACUUAAUUCGCUAUUCAUGUUGUUUCUUUUUUGUGCAGGAAUGUAUUCGUUUGAUUGUAAAGCUUCUUAGAGGAACGAUGUGUGUAUAACACAAGGAAGUUUAAGGCAACAACAGG
RNAcentral lists this ribosomal RNA (1064 nucleotides) under Plasmodium ovale (malaria parasite P. ovale). RNAcentral's name for it is "SSU rRNA". It matches the Rfam family "Eukaryotic small subunit ribosomal RNA", at positions 604 to 1460 of the family's 1831-position model. The record is from RNAcentral. Lineage: Eukaryota; Apicomplexa; Aconoidasida; Haemosporida; Plasmodiidae.